GUAGGGCGGGACACGUGGUAUCCUGUCUGAAUAUGGGGGGACCAUCCUCCAAGGCUAAAUACUCCUGACUGACCGAUAGUGAACCAGUACCGUGAGGGAAAGGCGAAAAGAACCCCGGCGAGGGGAGUGAAAAAGAACCUGAAACCGUGUACGUACAAGCAGUAGGAGCCCACUAGUUGGGUGACUGCGUACCUUUUGUAUAAUGGGUCAGCGACUUAUAUUCUGUAGCAAGGUUAACCGAAUAGGGGAGCCGCAGGGAAACCGAGUCUUAACUGGGCGUUAAGUUGCAGGGUAUAGACCCGAAACCCGGUGAUCUAGCCAUGGGCAGGUUGAAGGUUGGGUAACACUAACUGGAGGACCGAACCGACUAAUGUUGAAAAAUUAGCGGAUGACUUGUGGCUGGGGGUGAAAGGCCAAUCAAACCGGGAGAUAGCUGGUUCUCCCCGAAAGCUAUUUAGGUAGCGCCUCGUGAAUUCAUCUUCGGGGGUAGAGCACUGUUUCGGCUAGGGGGUCAUCCCGACUUACCAACCCGAUGCAAACUACGAAUACCGAAGAAUGUUAUCACGGGAGACACACGGCGGGUGCUAACGUCCGUCGUGAAGAGGGAAACAACCCAGACCGCCAGCUAAGGUCCCAAAGUCAUGGUUAAGUGGGAAACGAUGUGGGAAGGCCCAGACAGCCAGGAUGUUGGCUUAGAAGCAGCCAUCAUUUAAAGAAAGCGUAAUAGCUCACUGGUCGAGUCGGCCUGCGCGGAAGAUGUAACGGGGCUAAACCAUGCACCGAAGCUGCGGCAGCGACACUAUGUGUUGUUGGGUAGGGGAGCGUUCUGUAAGCCGUUGAAGGUGGCCUGUGAGGGUUGCUGGAGGUAUCAGAAGUGCGAAUGCUGACAUAAGUAACGAUAAUGCGGGUGAAAAACCCGCACGCCGGAAGACCAAGGGUUCCUGUCCAACGUUAAUCGGGGCAGGGUGAGUCGACCCCUAAGGCGAGGCCGAAAGGCGUAGUCGAUGGGAAACAGGUUAAUAUUCCUGUACUUGGUGUUACUGCGAAGGGGGGACGGAGAAGGCUAUGUUGGCCGGGCGACGGUUGUCCCGGUUUAAGCAUGUAGGCGGAUGUUCCAGGUAAAUCCGGAACGUUA
RNAcentral lists this ribosomal RNA (1135 nucleotides) under Klebsiella oxytoca. Its description in RNAcentral is "partial 23S ribosomal RNA". It matches the Rfam family "Bacterial large subunit ribosomal RNA", at positions 412 to 1552 of the family's 2925-position model. The record is from RNAcentral. Lineage: Bacteria; Pseudomonadati; Pseudomonadota; Gammaproteobacteria; Enterobacterales; Enterobacteriaceae.